AGCCACAUGUAGCUGCUAGCUAUGGGACUUAGACAGCAGAGGUGUGGAAAGUCCACACAUUCUUCCACUCAAAGGAUAUUUCCCUGCCUUUUUGAAGAUAAUGACCACUCAUCUGAGUACACAGUUUGCAGAAUCCCUUUGCAGUGGCCCAUGUGGGCCAAGGUAGUAGAGCAUAAUAGAUCUCUAGAAGGCCACUAGAAACAGCAGGUGAUGGCCCCAGCUCCUGUCCCUCCAUGCAGAACAUCUGUCAACACCUAUGGACAUCUUUUCUUCCCCCAUUCCUAUGAAUGUUGCUCAGUUGUUACAUGGUGUGGACAAAUGCUGCUGGCUGGUGGCCUGGACACACUGGACAAGCUUGGCCUUCGGUAAAACAAAGACUAGAUUCAAUUACUCAAACUGAAACGGGAAUGCUUGGACGAACAAGCCUGCCAGGAAGUCCCAUUGGAGGUACUCAACCUGUGCCCCUUCCCUCUUUGGACCAAGAGCCUGAACCUGAGAGAUGAACGGCUUAUCCAAGGUUAUGGCA
Long non-coding RNA from Lutra lutra (Eurasian river otter), 526 nucleotides. RefSeq lists it as uncharacterized. The transcript has 3 exons. Lineage: Eukaryota; Metazoa; Chordata; Mammalia; Carnivora; Mustelidae. The record is from RefSeq and is a predicted model, not a curated record.